AUGAACCGAACACUUGAAACCUGGAACAGAAGUUGCAACUGCUCACAGUUAUAUAGUGUCUGCCUGGCAUUUAACUGCAGGGAGGGUACCACAAGCUUUAAUCCUGCUGAUGCAAGUGAAAAAUCAAGCAAGCCUACAAGAGGACACAAAAAGCACCUGGAAAAAAUACCAUAGGGAGUGCUGGUGCAGUAACUUUUGAAAGAACAUUCUGGCACAGUAUUGAAUAUUAUUUGGAAUACUAUUCAUUGGAAUUUAAAGCGUAUCUGAAUUUUGGAAGUUUCCCACUAGUCUAACAGAUGUGGUAAGCAAUUAUUGCAUGCUAAAAAUUCUACCCUUAACCUUAACCCUCUGUUGUUUCUGGGUGGGUUUUUGGACAGAGGACAACUUUUUCUUUAUUUUAUUGCAACUGUGGCAAAGAACUUCUGAUCUGUUGCCAGAACAUUAUAGUGUGUUCUUCCUCGGGACAAUCCUUUAGGUUUUAUAGCUUAUAUUUUUGCAUAAACAAUUUGUAGUUGCAGAAGUGCAAAAGCAUAGUCAUUAAAAUCUGGUUAAUAUGAGGCAAUAUAAGUGUGAGGCUUAGACAGCUUGUGGUUAGAGAAGAGAUAAUAUAGAUUGUUAAUAUAGAUUGUAC
RNAcentral lists this long non-coding RNA (631 nucleotides) under Cyanistes caeruleus (blue tit). RNAcentral's name for it is "lncRNA (ENSCCEG00000019621.1)". The record is from RNAcentral. Lineage: Eukaryota; Metazoa; Chordata; Aves; Passeriformes; Paridae.